This 1059-nucleotide ribosomal RNA is filed under the name Microthecium japonicum. Its description in RNAcentral is "SSU rRNA". It matches the Rfam family "Eukaryotic small subunit ribosomal RNA", at positions 52 to 1123 of the family's 1831-position model. Lineage: Eukaryota; Fungi; Ascomycota; Sordariomycetes; Coronophorales; Ceratostomataceae. The record is from RNAcentral.
UGCAUGUCUAAGUAUAAGCAAUUAUACAGCGAAACUGCGAAUGGCUCAUUAUAUAAGUUAUCGUUUAUUUGAUAGUGCCUUACUACUUGGAUAACCGUGGUAAUUCUAGAGCUAAUACAUGCUGAAAGCCCCGACUCACGGAGGGGCGUAUUUAUUAGAUUAAAAACCAAUGCCCUUCGGGGCUCCUUGGUGAUUCAUGAUAACUUCUCGAAUCGCACGGCCUUGCGCCGGCGAUGGUUCAUUCAAAUUUCUUCCCUAUCAACUUUCGAUGUUUGGGUAGUGGCCAAACAUGGUGGCAACGGGUAACGGAGGGUUAGGGCUCGACCCCGGAGAAGGAGCCUGAGAAACGGCUCCUACAUCCAAGGAAGGCAGCAGGCGCGCAAAUUACCCAAUCCCGACUCGGGGAGGUAGUGACAAUAAAUACUGAUGCAGGGCUCUUUAGGGUCUUGCAAUUGGAAUGAGUACAAUUUAAAUCCCUUAACGAGGAACAAUUGGAGGGCAAGUCUGGUGCCAGCAGCCGCGGUAACUCCAGCUCCAAUAGCGUAUAUUAAAGUUGUUGUGGUUAAAAAGCUCGUAGUUGAACCUUGGGCCUGGCCGUCCGGUCCGCCUCACCGCGUGCACUGGCACGGCCGGGCCUUCCCACCGCGGAAUCGCAUGCCCUUUACUGGGCGUGUCGGGGAAGCGGUACUUUUACUGUGAAAAAAUUAGAGUGCUCUAAGCAGGCCUAUGCUCGAAUACAUUAGCAUGGAAUAAUAGAAUAGGACAGGCGUUCUAUUUUGUUGGUUUCUAGGACGUCUGUAAUGAUUAACAGAAACAAUCGGGGGCGUCAGUAUUGCAUCGUCAGAGGUGAAAUUCUUAGAUCGACGCAAGACUAACUACUGCGAAAGCAUUCGCCAAGGGUGUUUUCAUUAAUCAGGAACGAAAGUUAGGGGAUCGAAGACGAUCAGAUACCGUCGUAGUCUUAACCAUAAACUAUGCCGACUAGGGAUCGGGCGGUGUUAAUUUUUGACCCGCUCGGCACCUUACGAGAAAUCUUAAGUGCUUGGGCUCCAGGGGGAG